Molecule: unclassified non-coding RNA, 223 nt
Filed under: fungal sp.
Lineage: Eukaryota; Fungi
Description: partial internal transcribed spacer region
Rfam family: Eukaryotic small subunit ribosomal RNA (bases 1-46)
Source: RNAcentral
AAGUCGUAACAAGGUUUCCGUAGGUGAACCUGCGGAAGGAUCAUUAACAAAUUCAAAUUCACACAUGUUUCCCACGUGUCAACCCCCACAGCGUUACCUUCACAGGUGCGUUGGUGUUGACACGUGGUGUAUACAUACUUACACAUACACCUUGAUUGACAACACCUAGUGAUACAUCUAGUUAAACUGUAUACAACUUUUAACAAUGGAUCUCUUGGCUCUU